UGCCAGAUAAAGGACAGGGUAAGCCCUGACAAAAGGCACAAGAUCAUCUGUCUUUAGGCUUUGGCUUUUCAGCAUUCAGGAAAAAGGCAACAUUGUCUGCAAAUGUUGAACAAUGAUUGGAAAAAGUUUUCAUUUUAAGAGCACAGAAGAGUUUUGUAAAGCUGAUAUAGAGAAUAUACCGUAGUGGGAAAAGCUAAUUUGCAUAGAAUUGCAAGCAGGAGUA
Molecule: long non-coding RNA, 223 nt
Organism: Etheostoma cragini (Arkansas darter)
Lineage: Eukaryota; Metazoa; Chordata; Actinopteri; Perciformes; Percidae
Exons: 4
Source: RefSeq, a predicted model, not a curated record